Molecule: ribosomal RNA, 512 nt
Filed under: uncultured bacterium
Lineage: Bacteria
Description: partial 16S ribosomal RNA
Rfam family: Bacterial small subunit ribosomal RNA
Source: RNAcentral
GACGAACGCUGGCGGCGUGCCUAAUACAUGCAAGUCGAGCGAAUCUCGAGGAGCUUGCUCCUUGAGAUUAGCGGCGGACGGGUGAGUAACACGUGGGCAACCUGCCUGUAAGACUGGGAUAACACCGGGAAACCGGUGCUAAUACCGGAUAAUUCUUCUCCUCACAUGAGGGGAAGCUGAAAGUCGGUUUCGGCUGACACUUACAGAUGGGCCCGCGGCGCAUUAGCUAGUUGGUGAGGUAACGGAUCACCAAGGCGACGAUGCGUAGCCGACCUGAGAGGGGGAUCGGCCACACUGGGACUGAGCCACGGCCCAGACACCGACGGGAGGCAGCAGUAGGGAAUCUUCCGCAAUGGACGAAAGUCUGACGGAGCAACGCCGCGUGAGUGAUGAAGGCCUUCGGGUCGUAAAACUCUGUUGUUAGGGAAGAACAAGUAUCGGAGUAACUGCCGGUACCUUGACGGUACCUAACCAGAAAGCCACGGCUAUCUACGUGCCAGCCGCCGCCGUAA